AAAGAGGAGAAAGAAACCGGCGGUGGCAUUUUCCAAAAUUAGCUUGCAUCUCUGUCCUUUUUUUGACAUUGCCCUAUUCUAUGCCCCAUGAACUUGGUGAUGCUCGAUAUAACAUAUUCCUUGACAUAUUGACUUCUGUGACCUUUGCUUAAAGCAAUAUUGACUUGUUAUUGGAGUAUUGCUCAUGUUGGAUGAGAAAAAACACAACCACAUUGAUGCAAAGAAUAUGAUUGCUCAAAUGGUGGUUUACUUUCGAGUAAGGUUGUCAUUUCUUCAAUAUCCGGUAUCUCUCUCUAGAGUAUAUGUACUUGGAAACUGAGAUAUAGAUUUUUGGAUUUACCUCAUACGGACUUCUUUUAUAGAUUUUUUUAAUAAUCUGUCUUGUCUAGGAUGCUUUGGUGAGACUUAAUGAUGUCAUUAUACAAGAGAAAUCAGAUGGGAAAUCCAAAAUAAUAUAUCUCAGUUAUUAAAGAUUUUAAUGAUGUCAUUAAAGAAGUGCCAAGAUGGGAAAAGAUAUUGAAGUUUCAUGUAGCAGUGAGAGAACAUACAAGCACUUGUGCAGCAGUGGGAGGAAACAACUCUGGGGGGCCAUCAUAUUUGCCAAAACCUGUCAACUCCAUUCAAUGCAUCCAAAUCAGAGUGAAGAAACUCUUCCAGUAAUCACUGAAGCAGUCAACAGAAAACUGGAUAAGAUGAUCAUAGAAGGAGAUUUUCUAGUGCUAACCACAGCAUUUCAAAAAUGCCCACAUAAACUUCGUUUCUCAUAGACCAUAUAUGUUGAUACCAAUCACUGACAUUUGCUAAUUGCUGGAAUUUCCAUCGACAAAAACUCAUGAUAUCUCAGUUGGUGUUGUUUUAGCUAUAAAUUAUUCUUAGGGGUUCUAGCUGAUUAUUCA
This is a long non-coding RNA of Juglans microcarpa x Juglans regia, 896 nucleotides long. RefSeq lists it as uncharacterized. The record is from RefSeq and is a predicted model, not a curated record. Lineage: Eukaryota; Viridiplantae; Streptophyta; Magnoliopsida; Fagales; Juglandaceae. The transcript is spliced from 2 exons.